CAGCACCUCAAGUGGUCAGGAUGAUUAUUGGGCCUAAAGCAUCCGUAGCCGGCUCUGUAAGUUUUCGGUUAAAUCUGUACGCUCAACGUACAGGCUGCCGGGAAUACUGCAGCGCUAGGGAGUGGGAGAGGUAGACGGUACUCGGUAGGAAGGGGUAAAAUCCUUUGAUCUAUUGAUGACCACCUGUGGCGAAGGCGGUCUACCAGAACACGUCCGACGGUGAGGGAUGAAAGCUGGGGGAGCAAACCGGAUUAGAUACCCAAGUAGUCC
RNAcentral lists this ribosomal RNA (270 nucleotides) under uncultured archaeon. Its description in RNAcentral is "partial 16S ribosomal RNA". It matches the Rfam family "Archaeal small subunit ribosomal RNA", at positions 477 to 747 of the family's 1478-position model. The record is from RNAcentral.